GACGAACGCUGGCGGCGUGCUUAACACAUGCAAGUCGAACGGACAGGCCCUGCUUUUGUGGGGUGCUCGAGUGGCGAACGGGUGAGUAACACGUGAGUAACCUGCCCUUGACUUUGGGAUAACUUCAGGAAACUGGGGCUAAUACCGGAUAGGAGCUCCUGCUGCAUGGUGGGGGUUGGAAAGUUUCGGCGGUUGGGGAUGGACUCGCGGCUUAUCAGCUUGUUGGUGGGGUAGUGGCUUACGAAGGGUUUGACGGGUAGCCGGCCUGAGAGGGUGACCGGCGACAUUGGGACUGAGAGACGGCCCAGACGCCUACGGGAGGCAGCAGUGGGGAGUAUGGCACAAUGGGCGGAAGCCUGAUGCAGCAACGCCGCGUGCGGGAUGACGGCCUUCGGGUUGUGAACCGCUUUCGCCUGUGACGAAGCGUGAGUGACGGUAAUGGGUAAAGAAGCACCGGCUAACUACGUG
Molecule: ribosomal RNA, 468 nt
Filed under: uncultured bacterium
Lineage: Bacteria
Description: partial 16S ribosomal RNA
Rfam family: Bacterial small subunit ribosomal RNA
Source: RNAcentral